CAAAAUAUUCCCUAAAAUGAGUGUGUUUUUUUAGACUUGUAGUUUUCCAUGACGCAAAACUUUUUUCGAAGUUGAUCUGUUUGGUUUGUCAUUUCAUAAUGAAAAUUUAUUACCAAAGAAAUUCCCGAUUUUCACAAGAAAAUUUUGUUCAGUGAUGAAGCUCAAUUUUGAUUUAAUGGAGGGAAUCAUUAGUAUCCAUCUUUCUUCAAAAAUUAAGCUGGGCAUAAUGUAACAAUCCAUGGGAAACGCUAUAGAGCCAUGAUUCAUGACCUUUACGUGCCUGAAUGGAGGAUGUUGAUGGACGUUUGGUUCCAAUAAUACGGCGCUAUAUUCCAUACAGCCAACGGAACAAUCAAUUUAUUGAAGGAAACUUUUGGUGAGCGCAUUAUUUCUCGCCGGGAGCCUGUGGCGUGGCUUCCAACAUCGUGUGAUUCAACACCGCUGGACUAUUUUUGUGGCGUUAUGUGAAGUCGCUUGUCUAUGCAGGCUUAAGACGAGAAGUCAAGAAAGUCAUGCCCAGAGUUAUUCUGAAGUUUCAUGAUAGACGUGCUGGCGCAGAAGAGGAUUUAUUUGCACGAAUUGUAGUGCUGUUUUCUUAACGAUCUCUGAGAUGUGGUUUCUUUCGUUAUCAAGGAGUUCAAAUACUAAUGUGACGCAUUCUCCCUCAAGCAGUCAAAAACAGUAAUAUUGAAAAUGUUGUCCGGACCGGAUCACUUUCGCAUUACAAUUUUUCUCUUUGCUUAGGGAUCAUAUUGUGAGAUAUUUUAGUGCACCGAGUUUUUUUUAUACUUCUGAGCUUUUGAGGCAGAACAUUCUCUCUGUUACUUCAAUUUCGAGACUCAAUUCGAUUACAUUUUAUUGCAGCAGCAGUGUUCUUAUCCCUAAUCCGAAGAGUUUUAAAUUUAGAAUCAUAGAAUGGCGUGCUUCCGAAAUAUUUUUGUCCAUUUACUACCGAUGAACUAAGCCCAUCAGUAUCGAAGAAUAUAGUUCUUUCUUUAUUUCAUUUUCAAUAUCAUGCAGAACUAAUAUCAGAAUUUAAAUUGAAUCAGAUAUCUUAUAGUAAAGAUUCCAAAGUAUAAACAAGCUUUUUUGAACACAAAAUUCCCUUAAUUUUUGUAACCAAAUGUUAAUAUUAUAUAUUGACUCAUUUGGUAGCAAAAAAUAUUACGGCUAAAACUUAAGAAACAAUAUCCCUCUUUCAUCUCCACCUAUGGUUUUGAGUACGUCAGCAUGUGUGCACUUAGUCAGCGGUCUAUACAGUUUUUGCAUAAGAUUGUCUAAAAAAAGGUGUGUCACGAGACCGUGCGAGGUUUCUACUCACAUUUAUGUAACGUCAUAGAAAGCGCAAGUAGAAUUCUUACAUCACUAAAUAUAUGCUUAGAUGAAGUUAAUUCGGUAUAUAUACAUAUGUUCAUACAAGUAUAUGUUACGUCAUAGCUGCUAGUAAUUACCCCUUAAAUGUCAAGAGCCACUAAAAAGACAUAAGCGUUCGUAUUUCAUGAAAGCAUCUCAAAAAUGUUUGUAUAAAAAUUAGUAUUUACUAUUUAAAAGCGCGCAUGCAAUUCGUGACUUAUAUUUAGUUUAAACACGAUUAGCAAGUGUGGGAAAUUUUCAAAUAUUAUAAUAGCAAGUGAAGUUAUUAAAAUUUAAUUGUUGCAUGAGAUAAUAUUUCUCUUAUACAAGUACUACAUAUAUGUACAUAUAUAAAUAUUAUAUGUAUACAAAAUAAUAAGAAAUAGAAAAUCUAUUACUCUUUGCGAAAUACUGGCAAAAGGUAUAAACACGUCAUAUUUGUGCUUAAGUCGGAAUGUAGUUGAGCUGUAAGGCGUGCUGCAUUUGUAACUGAUUGAGCGUUCUGAUGACAGUCAAAAAGAAGUAGAAGUAAAUGUGAUUAGAGCACAGAAAAAUGUAACGGACUUUCAUUUAAUGUCUACAACCUAAAUUACUAUCUAAACGCGGCGAUUUGCUUAUAAAUUUCAAUAGCUGGUCCAAGGGCGCAAGAGAGAGUUUUUCAGCUUACUACAGGAGUAAGUCUAAAGCAGAGAGAUGAAUACGGCUCAUCACAAAUAGUGAUCAAAAUUCAGAGUUAUAGUUGGGUUAACUCAAAAACAUCGCUUGAUCAGUUCACAUCCCGAAUUGUUGGGAUGACUUUAGUAAUUCCAUAAGCGGUCAAGUCAGCUUUUGCCAAUGAAACCAAAAACAAAUAUUUUUGAGAAUAAAGGGCAUGUAGUUAGAGAAACUUCAGAACUCUUUCUAUUUGGUUAAAUCUUCGGAUCUUUAUUACGAUACAGUCACAGGAGGCAUUACUGUGUCAUGAAUCCCUAUUAAGUUUGUUUAGUAAAGUUAUGCACCAUUUUAACAGGUGAGACUGCAUAGUCUGCUCACUAAGGGUCUUGAUUUGGCUUGACUGACGGAAAAUACCACAAUAUUUGGCAAGAAACUUAUUUAAAGGUCGUAAGUUCUGCCAUAAAUUCCCUGCAGUUGGAGCAUAACACUCCCUGAAGCAGAACUCCCGCCAAUAUAGUCACUUAUUUUCUAAACUCUAACAAAUCUAUUUUAAAUUCUGGAAAUACACUAAAUAAAUAACAAAAGGAUCCGGCUGGCACCGAGCUUUAGCUUUGAUCACCAUUUGAACCAACUAAACAAAUAUUGGAAGGCCGCUAAAGAUUGAUAGCAUUUUACAUAGAACAGUACAUUUAAAGUGAGCAAAUGUUGUUCAAAGGUCUGCAGUUCCCUAGUUUAAAGACUGAGUCAUAAAGUCGGAACUAUGAGAUAAUGUAAGGUAAACGAUGGCUGAGGGAAAGAUGGAAAUAUUAAACAAAAUUUCGACUUUUGCAUCAUAUAUAACACACCCAAGUGACAUGCGUCAAACAUGGCCUCUUGAUAACUCAUCCUUAUAUUCGACAUCAACUGAAUAUGGAAUGAGUCAUAUAGAAGACUUUAGUAAAUGCACCUUUUGUAAAUACUGAAGAAUAAGAAAUAUUUAAAAGCACUAAAAAAGUAACAGGUUAAUGCAAUUUAUUUAUAUUUAUUGGGCAGUGUGGCCACAUGAGGAGCUUACAUAUGUAUGUGUGAAUAGCCACACAUUACAUGACGAAUGUCGCAGAAUACAAAAGAACACGCCCACAUUUAAUUGCAAUUUCUCGUAAGUCGGUAUUAGUCAGGUGAGAUGUAUCAUCUUGAAUAACAAGAAUGCGUCACAUAAGUAAAAUACCAACAAC
Long non-coding RNA from Bactrocera oleae (olive fruit fly), 3221 nucleotides. RefSeq lists it as uncharacterized. NCBI's taxonomy places the organism in Eukaryota, Metazoa, Arthropoda, Insecta, Diptera, Tephritidae. The record is from RefSeq and is a predicted model, not a curated record.